AAAGAGUGCAGUCCCGAGGUGGAGUAAUCUCAUAAAACCGUUUCAGUUCGGAUUGUAGGCUGCAACUCGCCUACAUGAAGCUGGAAUCGCUAGUAAUCGCGGAUCAGCAUGCCGCGGUGAAUACGUUCCCGGGCCUUGUACACACCGCCCGUCACACCACGAGAGUUUGUAACACCCGAAGUCGGUGGGGUAACCUUUAUGGAGCGAGCCGCCUAAGGUGGACAGAUGAUUGGGGGG
This 237-nucleotide ribosomal RNA is filed under the name Bacillus sp. AE. Its description in RNAcentral is "partial 16S ribosomal RNA". It matches the Rfam family "Bacterial small subunit ribosomal RNA", at positions 1241 to 1482 of the family's 1533-position model. The record is from RNAcentral. Lineage: Bacteria; Bacillati; Bacillota; Bacilli; Caryophanales; Bacillaceae.